CUACGGGGUGCAGCAGUGAGGAAUUUUGCGCAAUGGGGGCAACCCUGACGCAGCAACGCCGCGUGAGUGAAGAAGGCCUUUGGGUCGUAAAGCUCUGUCAACUGGGAAGAAGUUACGUGUAUUUAACAGAUACAGGUAUUGACGGUACCAGUGGAGGAAGCGUCGGCUAACUCCGUGCCAGCAGCCGCGGUAACACGGGGGACGCAAGCGUUAUUCGGAAUUAUUGGGCGUGAAAGGGCGCGUAGGCGGUCUUGUCGGUCAGAUGUGAAAGCCCGGGGCGCAACCCCGGACGUGCAUUUGAAACAGCAGGACUUGAGUACGGGAGAGGAAAGCGGAAUUCCUGGUGUAGAGGUGAAAUUCGUAGAUAUCAGGAGGAACACCGAUGGCGAAGGCAGCUUUCUGGACCGAUACUGACGCUGAGGCGCGAAGGCGUGGGUAGCGAACGGGAUUAGAUACCCUCGUAGUC
This 466-nucleotide ribosomal RNA is filed under the name uncultured bacterium. RNAcentral describes it as "partial 16S ribosomal RNA". It matches the Rfam family "Bacterial small subunit ribosomal RNA", at positions 339 to 795 of the family's 1533-position model. The record is from RNAcentral.